UUGUUAUUUGUAAUUAAGUGGACCUUCACAUCCGCGUCUUCUCUCUCUAAAAAAACUCGCUCCCCCUCUGUUCCUCUCUCUAGGGUUUCAGCGCCGCUUUGUGCUCUUUGCGAUCGGAGAGUUUAGCUUCUACGGCUCUAUCGAAUAAGGUGGGCUCAUCUGCAGCACCGCCUUUUGGGCUGCCGUCAUGGGCUCCUGCUGCUAGACAGACUAUUCUUGGAGGUGGGAUUGAAGCCUUGACAGAAAGAGGGAGGGUAAUUAUGUAAUUGGAGAUGGUGGUAGUAGGCAAGGGUCAAUAGAUUCCCAAGGAGGGGGAUGUUCUUCAAGUGUGUCAGAAUUGGAUAGUAAACCACUUCAAGGUAUUAUGAUUAAUCUCUUAUACCAACUUCCUAUAUAUGCUAUUACUAUUUUUAGUUAUAUAGCUAUUAUCAACAAAAAAAAGAAAGAAAGAAAAAGAAAUUGAAAUAUAUCUACUUGUUUAUCUGCUGUGCAAUUUUUGGGGUUUGAGAGCUUUAUAUUAAGAAUAUUGGUAGCUUUUUUUAAGUAUAUUCUGUAUAGAAAGUUGUUGAUUAUUGACUACUGCUAGUAAUGCUCUGGAGUUUCUUGUUUCAUAUCCUAGUAGUUCUGCUACCAAAUAAAAGUAAUGGAAAGUGUUAAUUAAAACGAAAAUGAAGAUGUAGAGGUAGAGGGAGAGAGAGGGAGGGAGGGAGGGAGGGAGGGAGGGAGGGAGGGGGGGGGAGAGAGAAGAAGGAAGAAACGAUGGAUCAUGUGGAUGGAAGAAAGGGUAAUUACGGAGAAUUGAAUUAGCAAUUUGUCAAUGCAUACUCACAAAAAUUCAUUAUUAUCAUUGAUCAUAUUAUUGGAGCUAAAAUGUUUCAUUGAUUAAGCUUCUUGCCAUUCAGAAGAAACUUUGUUAAAGAUUUAAGCUUUUAGAUUUGAUAGCGUAGUAUUUUAAAUCAGAGUAAAAUAGGGUGUGCAAUGUGUGUUUAAUAUCAGUUCUCUCUUCAAACCAUGUGGUGCAUUUACAGAAAUUGAACUAUCCAAUUUUUCCAUACAGCCCACUGCACGUUGAGUUGGUUCUUUAAUUAAACAAAAACUGCUCCAUACUUGCUUAUUUAGAAUCUUGAUGUAAAGCUAAAAACUUUUUAACUUGAAAGUUAUCAAGAUUGCUAGCAUAUGAUAAUGAAUUCCUGUUCCAGUGUCUUCUAUUUUCUGUUUUUCACAAGGUGCACUAAUCUUAUGCAUGUGGGUUUGUGAAUUUGUUGUUGUGUCUUGUGUAUUUAUUGUAAAUUGCAUGCCACCAAUUAGAAUGCUUUCUUGUUUGCUUCUUACUUUUUUAGGAUAUCAUUUUGCCCUCUCAGUCCCACAAUCUUGCAAGCAGUCUGGGGUUGUUGAUUAGUGGUUUAUUUUAUAAAAAUUAGGGAGCAAGCGAGGAUAGUUUUAUGAGCAAAGAUCAGGGAAUGAGUAGAUUAAGUUGGUGUUUAUUUUGAUAUUUUAAAAAAAUAAUUAAUUCGAUAACAGUUCUGAACAAUUAGCUAUAUCAAUGAGAGUUCCCGCUAGAAUCUUAAUGAGGCUAUCAGAUGCUAUGAUUGCCUUAUUUCUCUUUCUCUUUUGUCGGUUGUACUACACACGAUAAAAAGAUAUCGGUAACUAAUGUCCUGAUUAGACAAACUAAUAGUUUACUUUUCUUUUACCUAAAUCUUUUAAUAGCAUAAAUAAUAUUUCCUCCGUUCUACAAAAAGAAUCCCAUUUGAAAAAAAAAAUCAAAUAUUAAGGAUAUAUUUUGUUCCAUGUUUACCCCUAAAAAUAAAAGAAGUUAGUUUAAUAGUAGUGGUAUUACAAUGAAGUUAUGAUGGCAAACUUGAGGGCCUUUGUCAUUUUAUAUUACUAUCAAUAAAAUGAGGACUAAUCUUGUAGAACAAUUUUUUGUUUUUUUUUGACAAAUGGAUUUAUUUUUGUGGAAUAGUGGGAGUACUAAUUUUGGUGGUUUUUGGUUUUUUUGUGAUUUAACAUAUGAAGUAUAUGCAAAAUAGCAUAUAAUCUAUUUAUGUGUUUCAUCUGUUUUUCAAUAUAGUUGAGGUGAAGAGCAGUUCUGAUGGUUUCAUGAUCAAAAUGAGAGAUGGUCGACAUUUAAGAUGUGACCAUACCAACCCUCAGGGACUAUUCUUCAUCAAGUACUAUUCUUGUAGGACCCAAUUAUGAAGGGGAGGGACUUAUCUCGCUGACCUGGGUAUGUUCUGCCCUUACCACUUAAAAAUUCCCAAGUUAUUAAUAAAUGUGUCUUUCCAAUGUGUGCUGCAACAUGUUGAAUUCUUGGUAAAUAAAUCUAUGAUGUCUGUGAUUAUAGCUAGCAUCUUUGGGGCAUAUACUGUAUGAAAAUUUGUCUUAAGAAAAGUUUUUUCACAUUGACUAAUAGUCUCAACUUUUUCGUAAUUGUUGUCCUUUUUAUAUAGAAAUCUAAACAUUGUUAUUUAAGAUUGUGUGGUGGUAUUUAAGAUUGUGUGAUGCUUGUGGUUGUUGAAUGUGACUGAAUUUUGACUUGAGGUCAACAUAUAAUAAUAAUCUACAAGUCUUGUAACAGAAAAUAUGUUUACCACUAUGCUUACUGAAAUUAAUUCAUGAAAUGGCCGAUUAAGAUUCCAAUAUUUUCUUGUAAUUGAGCAAUAAUAUAGUCGCACUGAAGGUUCUUUUUCUAUUUUGAUUUGUAGCAAAUGAUAUUGUGAUCGUCUAUUUGUCUUUUUCUGCUUAUGAGCAAUACGGUGUACAUUAGUACCACGUAGCAACUCUAUUGUCUUUGUGUAUUGAUUUUGGCACUAAGUGCCUUUGGUGACUUAUUUGCUUCAUUUUUCUGACUUGCUAUUAUUUUUAAAUACGUGCAGGAAGAUUGCUUCUACGACCUGCCUUACAAUAUUGGGUAUCAAAUUUCUGUGCUACGCUUACGGAAGACAAGGGACGAAAUUAUGAAGUGUACUCUCUAUAUAUGUAGAUAUAUACUUUGAUUGAAGAACUGUGGUAGCUUUAGAUGGUUAAUUGUAAAGAUAAUGAAUGAUUAUGUAGUGAAUGAUUUUAUUAAGUUAAUAAUAUUUUAGUUUUUUGUAUUUUUGUCAUUAUUUGCUAUCGGG
Molecule: long non-coding RNA, 3122 nt
Filed under: Panax ginseng (ginseng)
Lineage: Eukaryota; Viridiplantae; Streptophyta; Magnoliopsida; Apiales; Araliaceae
Description: long non-coding RNA (PGIN_LNC000597)
Source: RNAcentral